Molecule: ribosomal RNA, 497 nt
Filed under: uncultured bacterium
Lineage: Bacteria
Description: partial 16S ribosomal RNA
Rfam family: Bacterial small subunit ribosomal RNA
Source: RNAcentral
GAUGAACGCUGGCGGCGUGCCUAAUACAUGCAAGUCGAGCGAACAGACGAGGAGCUUGCUCCUCUGACGUUAGCGGCGGACGGGUGAGUAACACGUGGAUAACCUACCUAUAAGACUGGGAUAACUUCGGGAAACCGGAGCUAAUACCGGAUAAUAUAUUGAACCGCAUGGUUCAAUAGUGAAAGACGGUUUUGCUGUCACUUAUAGAUGGAUCCGCGCCGCAUUAGCUAGUUGGUAAGGUAACGGCUUACCAAGGCAACGAUGCGUAGCCGACCUGAGAGGGUGAUCGGCCACACUGGAACUGAGACACGGUCCAGACUCCUACGGGAGGCAGCAGUAGGGAAUCCUCCGCCAUGGGCGAAAGCCUGACGGAGCAACGCCGCGUGAGUGAUGAAGGUCUUCGGAUCGUAAAACUCUGUUAUUAGGGAAGAACAAAUGUGUAAGUAACUAUGCACGUCUUGACGGUACCUAAUCAGAAAGCCACGGCUAACUACGUG